This 346-nucleotide long non-coding RNA is filed under the name Nicotiana benthamiana. RNAcentral describes it as "long non-coding RNA (NBEN_LNC026461)". Lineage: Eukaryota; Viridiplantae; Streptophyta; Magnoliopsida; Solanales; Solanaceae. The record is from RNAcentral.
UGUUAUUGAAAAUGCUGCCAUCGUGAAAACCGAAAGCGGACGCCACGAAAAAAAGAACACUAAGUUAUGUUCGCUCACAAAACAGAGCACGCAGAAAAUGAAAAAUCCUAGAGCUCUUCAUAACUUACUUAUUCUUAAAUUCAGGUAUAUAAAAUUCAUUAUUGUCAUUUACCCAAUAAUAGUAUUAGCUAAGAGUUGACUAUCUAAUUCCUUUCUGACUCUACAUCAAUAAUAAAUUUCAUAUUUAGGUAUAGUACUUAAAAAUUGAUUAAAAUGUAUUGUUGUUGUAGAAUCGAUUGUUUGACUGGUGUCAAUUGGACUGGGGCCAACGUUUUGGUUCGAGAAG